RNAcentral lists this ribosomal RNA (465 nucleotides) under uncultured bacterium. RNAcentral describes it as "bacterial SSU rRNA". It matches the Rfam family "Bacterial small subunit ribosomal RNA", at positions 338 to 795 of the family's 1533-position model. The record is from RNAcentral.
CCUACGGGGGGCUGCAGUAGGGAAUCUUCCGCAAUGGGCGAAAGCCUGACGGAGCAACGCCGCGUGAGUGAAGAAGGAUUUCGGUUCGUAAAGCUCUGUUGUUAGGGAAGAAUGAUUGUGUAGUAACUAUACACAGUAGAGACGGUACCUAACCAGAAAGCCACGGCUAACUACGUGCCAGCAGCCGCGGUAAUACGUAGGUGGCAAGCGUUGUCCGGAAUUAUUGGGCGUAAAGCGCGCGCAGGUGGUUUAAUAAGUCUGAUGUGAAAGCCCACGGCUCAACCGUGGAGGGUCAUUGGAAACUGUUAAACUUGAGUGCAGGAGAGAAAAGUGGAAUUCCUAGUGUAGCGGUGAAAUGCGUAGAGAUUAGGAGGAACACCAGUGGCGAAGGCGGCUUUUUGGCCUGUAGCUGACACUGAGGCGCGAAAGCGUGGGGAGCAAACAGGAUUAGAUACCCUUGUAGUC